Molecule: long non-coding RNA, 141 nt
Organism: Cercocebus atys (sooty mangabey)
Lineage: Eukaryota; Metazoa; Chordata; Mammalia; Primates; Cercopithecidae
Exons: 3
Source: RefSeq, a predicted model, not a curated record
GCAACAGAGCAAGAAUCUGUCUCUAAAAAAUAAAAAUAAUAAAAAUAAUUGUAAUAAUAAUGACCUUCCGUUCCAUCCACGUUAUUAUAAAUAACAGGGUUUUUGGCCGGGCGCGGUGGCUCAAGCCUGUAAUCCCAGCAC